GAUGAACGCUGGCGGCGUGCCUAAUACAUGCAAGUCGAGCGAACGGACGAGAAGCUUGCUUCUCUGAUGUUAGCGGCGGACGGGUGAGUAACACGUGGAUAACCUACCUAUAAGACUGGGAUAACUUCGGGAAACCGGAGCUAAUACCGGAUGAUAUUUUGAACCGCAUGGUUCAAAAGUGAAAGACGGUCUUGCUGUCACUUAUAGAUGGAUCCGCGCUGCAUUAGCUAGUUGGUAAGGUAACGGCUUACCAAGGCAACGAUGCAUAGCCGACCUGAGAGGGGGAUCGGCCACACUGGAACUGAGACACGGUCCAGACGCCUACGGGAGGCAGCAGUAGGGAAUCUUCCGCAAUGGGCGAAAGCCUGACGGAGCAACGCCGCGUGAGUGAUGAAGGUCUUCGGAUCGUAAAACUCUGUUAUUAGGGAAGAACAUAUGUGUAAGUAACUGUGCACAUCGUGACGGUACCUAGUCAGAAAGCCACGGCUAACUACGUG
RNAcentral lists this ribosomal RNA (497 nucleotides) under uncultured bacterium. RNAcentral describes it as "partial 16S ribosomal RNA". It matches the Rfam family "Bacterial small subunit ribosomal RNA", at positions 28 to 507 of the family's 1533-position model. The record is from RNAcentral.